GAUGAACGCUGGCGGCGUGCUUAACACAUGCAAGUCGAGCGGAGAUAUUUAAACGGAAGGUUUCGGCUGGAAGGUUAAAUAUCUUAGCGGCGGACGGGUGAGUAACGUGUGGGCAACCUGCCCUGUACUGUGGAAUAAUCACUGGAAACGGUGACUAAUACCGCAUGUCAUCACAAGGGGGCAUCCCCUUGUGAGAAAAGGAUUUAUUCGGUACGGGAUGGGCCCGCAUCUGAUUAGCUAGUUGGUGAGAUAACAGCCCACCAAGGCAACGAUCAGUAGCCGACCUGAGAGGGUGAUCGGCCACAUUGGGACUGAGACACGGCCCAAACUCCUACGGGAGGCAGCAGUGGGGAAUAUUGCACAAUGGGCGAAAGCCUGAUGCAGCAACGCCGCGUGAAGGAUGAAGGGUUUCGGCUCGUAAACUUCUAUCAAUAGGGACGAAAAAAAUGACGGUACCUAAAUAAGAAGCCCCGGCUAACUACGUGCCAGCAGCCGCGGUAAUACGUAGGGGGCAAGCGUUAUCCGGAAUUACUGGGUGUAAAGGGAGAGUAGGCGGCAUGGUAAGUUAGAUGUGAAAGCCCGGGGCUUAACCUCGGGAUUGCAUUUAAAACUAUCAAGCUAGAGUACAGGAGAGGUAAGUGGAAUUCCUAGUGUAGCGGUGAAAUGCGUAGAUAUUAGGAAGAACACCAGUGGCGAAGGCGACUUACUGGACUGAAACUGACGCUGAGGCUCGAAAGCGUGGGGAGCGAACAGGAUUAGAUACCCUGGUAGUCCACGCCGUAAACGAUGAGUGCUAGGUGUCGGGGGGGAACCCUCGGUGCCGCAGCUAACGCAAUAAGCACUCCACCUGGGGAGUACGAUCGCAAGAUUGA
This 872-nucleotide ribosomal RNA is filed under the name uncultured bacterium. RNAcentral's name for it is "bacterial SSU rRNA". It matches the Rfam family "Bacterial small subunit ribosomal RNA", at positions 28 to 897 of the family's 1533-position model. The record is from RNAcentral.